Molecule: transfer RNA, 74 nt
Filed under: Coemansia erecta
Lineage: Eukaryota; Fungi; Kickxellomycota; Kickxellomycetes; Kickxellales; Kickxellaceae
Also listed under: 43 other names
Description: tRNA-Arg
Rfam family: tRNA
About the family: Transfer RNA (tRNA) molecules are approximately 80 nucleotides in length.
Source: RNAcentral
GGCCUUGUAGCUCAGUGGUCUAGAGCGCUCGUUUCCGAUGCGAGAAGUCCCAGGUUCGAUCCCUGGCCAGGUCG